Anthonomus grandis grandis is the source of this 1016-nucleotide long non-coding RNA. RefSeq lists it as uncharacterized. NCBI's taxonomy places the organism in Eukaryota, Metazoa, Arthropoda, Insecta, Coleoptera, Curculionidae. The transcript has 2 exons. The record is from RefSeq and is a predicted model, not a curated record.
CAAAUUCAAAUUUCUACAGUUCAGAUUCUAGUCUUGUGUCAACAUAGUGACCCAAUAGAAAAGGAACAUUUUAUAAGGUCGAUUACCAACACAUGAGAUCGUAUGUUGUAUGUGCCAACAGAUUUGCUUCUACUAAUGUAUAUGAUUGUAGAAUGUCGAUGUCCUAAAGUAUUUUCGUAUUUAAACGUAACAUUGUUAAUAUGCUUCCAAUCAUUACAUCGAGAUGAACAAUUAAAGAUUGCGUUAAAAGUGAAAAACAAACAAUAGGUAUAAUAAGAAACACAUUUUGUUGUCGAAGAGUAUAAUAAUCAUUUUCUCUCAAGAGUUUCUCCAUCCUUUAAAUUAUUAAUAAAAAACUUUUUAUUUAAAUUUCUUGUUUUUAUUUCACAGCUGGACUUUCUAUAACUUAUAGAAGCUGAUGAGAAAUGAUAAUUUUUCUUUUGGAAAACUUUUAAUCCUUUACGAGUCCACAACACACGCAUUUCUUUUGUUAAAACUGCUCUUAAUGAUGAAAAUUAUGAAAUCAGAUUCUAGUAUCUAGAUUGUCUGACUUAUGUCACACUUUCUCCGAUUUUUCAAUUUUUGAAGGCUAUACUCGUAAAAAACAUUUCUUAAACCCGAACCCAUAUUUUGAAUGUAAAGUGUACUUUUGUAUCAAGCAAGUAUCACUUUUGCUUGUUCAUCACGAUUUGUGCACAAAUCAUUUUGUUGAUGGUAAUAAAUAUAAAUGAUAAUAAGAUUCAAGUAAAAAAUCUGUGAUUGGGUCGACGCCAUGGAGAUUGAACCGAUUCAGACAUUUUGAGCGUGUAUUAAAAUUCAAAAGGAUUUUUUUUCGUACAAAAGUGAAUUUUGAAGUAUUACACGCACGAAAAUGUGAAUUCGUAUUUAAAAAAGAACCCGCUUCUGACUCGGAUGAGAUAAGAACUGCAUGACUGACUUCGGCAAAAGAACUUACGAUAUUUUACGGAUCAUAUUGGAUUCUCAAUUGUGAAUAAAUACAUUAUCUUUUUUUUAAA